RNAcentral lists this ribosomal RNA (195 nucleotides) under uncultured eukaryote. RNAcentral's name for it is "partial 18S ribosomal RNA". It matches the Rfam family "Eukaryotic small subunit ribosomal RNA", at positions 1 to 194 of the family's 1831-position model. The record is from RNAcentral.
CAAAACCUGGUUGAUCCUGCCAGUAGUCAUAUGCUUGUCUCAAAGAUUAAGCCAUGCAUGUCUAAGUAUAAAUAGUAUACAGUGAAACUGCGGAUGGCUCAUUAAAACAGUUAUAGUUUAUUUGAUAAUGGAAAGCUACAUGGAUAACCGUGGUAAUUCUAGAGCUAAUACAUGCUAUCAAACCUGACUUAUGGA